CCUACGGGAGGCUGCAGUGAGGAAUAUUGGUCAAUGGGCGAGAGCCUGAACCAGCCAAGUCGCGUGAGGGAAGACGGUCCUAUGGAUUGUAAACCUCUUUUGUCGGGAGCAAAAAGGCCUCGUGAGGCCACAAGUGAGAGUACCCGAAGAAAAAGCAUCGACUAACUCCGUGCCAGCAGCCGCGGUAAUACGGAGGAUGCGAGCGUUAUCCGGAUUUAUUGGGUUUAAAGGGUGCGUAGGCGGACUGGAAAGUCAGCGGUAAAAUUGCGGGGCUCAACCCCGUCGAGCCGUUGAAACUGGCAGACUUGAGUUGGCGAGAAGUACGCGGAAUGCGCGGUGUAGCGGUGAAAUGCAUAGAUAUCGCGCAGAACUCCGAUUGCGAAGGCAGCGUACCGGCGCCAGACUGACGCUGAGGCACGAAAGCGUGGGGAUCGAACAGGAUUAGAUACCCGAGUAGUC
Molecule: ribosomal RNA, 459 nt
Filed under: uncultured bacterium
Lineage: Bacteria
Description: partial 16S ribosomal RNA
Rfam family: Bacterial small subunit ribosomal RNA
Source: RNAcentral